This 465-nucleotide ribosomal RNA is filed under the name uncultured bacterium. RNAcentral describes it as "partial 16S ribosomal RNA". It matches the Rfam family "Bacterial small subunit ribosomal RNA", at positions 28 to 507 of the family's 1533-position model. The record is from RNAcentral.
GACGAACGCUGGCGGCGUGCUUAACACAUGCAAGUCGUACGGUAAGGCCCUUUCGGGGGUACACGAGUGGCGAACGGGUGAGUAACACGUGAGUAACCUGCCCACAACUUUGGGAUAACGCUAGGAAACUGGUGCUCAUACUGGAUAUGUGCUCCUGCUGCAUGGUGGGGGUUGGAAAGCUCCGGCGGUUGUGGAUGGACUCGCGGCCUAUCAGCUUGUUGGUGGGGUAGUGGCCUACCAAGGCGGCGACGGGUAGCCGGCCUGAGAGGGUGACCGGCGACAUUGGGACUGAGAUACGGCCCAGACUCCUACGGGAGGCAGCAGUGGGGAAUAUUGCACAAUGGGCGCAAGCCUGAUGCAGCAACGCCGCGUGCGGGAUGACGGCCUUCGGGUUGUAAACCGAUUUCAGCAGGGACGAAGCUUUUUGUGACGGUACCUGCAGAAGAAGCACCGGCUAACUACGUG